UUUCUAGAGAUAGAAAGUUACUUCGGUACAUCGGUGACAGGUGGUGCAUGGUUGUCGUCAGCUCGUGUCGUGAGAUGUUGGGUUAAGUCCCGCAACGAGCGCAACCCCUAUUGUUAGUUGCCAUCAUUCAGUUGGGCACUCUGGCGAGACUGCCGGUAAUAAACCGGAGGAAGGUGGGGAUGACGUCAAAUCAUCAUGCCCCUUAUGACCUGGGCUACACACGUGCUACAAUGGUUGGUACAACGAGUUGCGAGUCGGUGACGGCGAGCUAAUCUCUUAAAGCCAAUCUCAGUUCGGAUUGUAGGCUGCAACUCGCCUACAUGAAGCCGGAAUCGCUAGUAAUCGCGGAUCAGCACGCCGCGGUGAAUACGUUCCCGGGCCUU
Molecule: ribosomal RNA, 383 nt
Filed under: uncultured Streptococcus sp.
Lineage: Bacteria; Bacillati; Bacillota; Bacilli; Lactobacillales; Streptococcaceae
Description: bacterial SSU rRNA
Rfam family: Bacterial small subunit ribosomal RNA
Source: RNAcentral